UGGCGAACGGGUGAGUAACGCGUGAGGAACCUGCCUCAAAGAGGGGACAACAGUUGGAAACGACUGCUAAUACCGCAUAAGCCCACGACCCGGCAUCGGGUAGAGGGAAAAGGAGCAAUCCGCUUUGAGAUGGCCCCGCGUCCGAUUAGCUAGUUGGUGAGGUAACGGCCCACCAAGGCGACGAUCGGUAGCCGGACUGAGAGGUUGAACGGCCACAUUGGGACUGAGACACGGCCCAG
Molecule: ribosomal RNA, 239 nt
Filed under: uncultured bacterium
Lineage: Bacteria
Description: partial 16S ribosomal RNA
Rfam family: Bacterial small subunit ribosomal RNA
Source: RNAcentral